AUAGAUGUUUGAAAUUCACGUGACGUCACAGUGUAAGCUGUGCUGUGUGUUGUGAGUUCGGCUUCAACCAGCUACAAGUGAACGCCUCAUGAAAUGGCUUACACCCACAUACCCGGUAAAUUACACACUUUGAUGUUCUGCUCCUUCUCCUGACGGUCACGGUAACGAUGUCUGCGCCUCCAUUUCUGUGGAUGUCCAGCGUGAGACACAACUUGAAUCCAACCAGACUGAACACUGACUCCAGGGACGGACGAGCCUGAAGGACACAGCUGUGAUGACCAAUUGACCAUGUUUUGUCUCUUAUGGCAAAGCAGAAAUAUUAAACACUGGGUUCUUAUCUAAAGUGUAUCAAAUCAGAAAGCAAAAGAUACACAUUGUUGUUAUAAGUUUUUAUUAUUUUAACCAACCAUAAUGAAGAUAGAAAUGAAUUCUUAUCCAUGCCACUUAGCAAUGACUGCCACCACCAAACAGUUGCAGGCCAUCUUUAUUUAAGGGAGGAAUUUAGAAGUGUUGUGUAGCUUCUGAUGAUGAUGCAGUCGUCCACGUGUUGACCACCAUGUUGCUGCUGACGACGUCAGGUGCUGCAGUUCCUCAUCUAUGAAGAGAAGAAACGCACUGUUAAAGAAUGUUUUGAGUUGUGUAUGAAGCACAACAGAUUUCAGAUAGAACCGUUGUACUGUGGUCUGGGUUUGUAUCCUAAUGGUUAAAUGCACAUAUUUUUAUCUAAGUCGCUUUUGAUAAAAGUACUGAAAGAAAUACAACAUUGUAAAAAUAGAUAAAAUGUCUUUCUACCUCAUCUGUAAUAUUCAAGGUGAUAAUCUCCCACAGAGCUAUUGAUAACAGUCCACAUCAAGUCUCUCCACUUCCCUCAGUGUGAAAACAUAAUUAUAUAAUUAAUUUGAGAACUGUUUACAACACUGAUGUGUGGAGAUUAAAAUCAUAUCUAAACUGUCUAAUUCACUGUAAAACUCCAUGACAUUCGCAGGCCAUCUGUACUUAAAAGACGAACCUGGAUUGAUCUGUCCAAAAAUCCAAAAGUCUCCCUACCCUCUCUAGUGCCCCUGAGCAAGGCACCUCACUCCCCAAACAUCUGCUCCGUGAGCGCCGUACAUGGUCGCUCACUGCUCUGUGUGUCCUGCACCAGAUGGGUAAAAAGCAGAGAUUAAAUUUCCCUACCUGCAUGAGUGUGCCUUUGCAUGUCUGUGCAUGUGUUUGGGACGAAUAAAUGGAUCUUAAUCUUAAUCUUUUAAUCUUAAUCAGUUGUCUUCCAGUUGACCAGCAUGAAGCUGCAAAUCUCCACCAUGUUGCUGCUGAGGACAUCAGGAGCUGCAUUAAUGAGGAGCAGAAGCGCACUGUUAUGAAUGUUUUGUGUUGUGUAUGAAGCACCACAUAUUUCAGAUAGAACCGAUGUACUGGGGUCUGGGUUUGUAUACUAAUGGUUAAAUGCACAUACUUUAAAUCGCUUUUGAUAAAA
Pleuronectes platessa (European plaice) is the source of this 1474-nucleotide long non-coding RNA. RefSeq lists it as uncharacterized. The record is from RefSeq and is a predicted model, not a curated record. The transcript is spliced from 3 exons. Lineage: Eukaryota; Metazoa; Chordata; Actinopteri; Pleuronectiformes; Pleuronectidae.